CCUACGGGAGGCAGCAGUGGGGAAUUUUGGACAAUGGGCGAAAGCCUGAUCCAGCAAUGCCGCGUGAGUGAAGAAGGCCUUCGGGUUGUAAAGCUCUUUUGUCAGGGAAGAAACGGUGAAAGCUAAUAUCUUUUGCUAAUGACGGUACCUGAAGAAUAAGCACCGGCUAACUACGUGCCAGCAGCCGCGGUAAUACGUAGGGUGCAAGCGUUAAUCGGAAUUACUGGGCGUAAAGCGUGCGCAGGCGGUUUUGUAAGUCUGAUGUGAAAUCCCCGGGCUCAACCUGGGAAUUGCAUUGGAGACUGCAAGGCUAGAAUCUGGCAGAGGGGGGUAGAAUUCCACGUGUAGCAGUGAAAUGCGUAGAUAUGUGGAGGAACACCGAUGGCGAAGGCAGCCCCCUGGGUCAAGAUUGACGCUCAUGCACGAAAGCGUGGGGAGCAAACAGGAUUAGAUACCCUGGUAGUCCACGCCCUAAACGAUGUCUACUAGUUGUCGGGUCUUAAUUGACUUGGUAACGCAGCUAACGCGUGAAGUAGACCGCCUGGGGAGUACGGUCGCAAGAUUAAAACUUAAAUGAAUUGACCGGNUGAGAGAGCGAGACGACGACGAGGGAGGAGG
This 618-nucleotide ribosomal RNA is filed under the name uncultured bacterium. RNAcentral's name for it is "bacterial SSU rRNA". It matches the Rfam family "Bacterial small subunit ribosomal RNA", at positions 338 to 951 of the family's 1533-position model. The record is from RNAcentral.